GGGAUAUUCCUGCAGUGUCUGGCUUUGGAGUGACCUGUUAACUAUGACUACGUAAUGGUCAUGUUUAAUUUUAUAGGUCAUAAGGUCCCUGGGAUGUAUUCAAGUUUAGCAGAUGUUUAAUACUGGUUAUGAACUGUCAAGCUCAGAGCAGGAAUGCUCAAAAGUUGGGGGGGGCGCGGUCUAAGGAAAACUGGGGAGCUGGUUGUAAUGCAGAUUGUGGGCUCUGGAAGUCCCUUUAGAAAUAAUUGCCAGGUCAGUCUGAUUGAUUUUAAGUGGCCUGUGUGCUACCCUUUGAGAAAUGGGUUAGGUAAUGGGAAUUUCUGCGUUACUUAAAAUACACUGUUCAUAAUUAAAAAUUCUUUUGACAGUGUUGUCGGGAAUUAGUUCUGAAUUAGUAUAUACAGGGAAAUAAAAGUAUGGAAGAUAAGGAGUUUGGGGCUACUUUGGUAGUUGGGCAUGUCUUGAAAUUGAAAAUCAAAAACUUCAAUUUCUUCACCUGUUAAGAUCCCAGUUAUGAACAAAAGAUGGGUCAAAAGAAAAUUGGGUGGUUGGGUUGUGAUGAUUUGAUAUUUUACAGUAAUAAUAUACUAUAAAAGUAAUAACACACAGUGACCAAAACUGUGAAACCCUUAAUGAACCUAUAAGUAGGUUGAAGGGAUGUGUGUGUUGGUGUUGGUAGGGGAGUAGAAAAUGAGAGAGGGCAACUGUAUUGCUAAAAUAGUAAAUGAUGAAACUAGCCAUUGGCCCCUACCCACAAAAAACACUUAUGAAGAUGUAUACAUGUAUCUUUAUACUUCUAGGAACUUAGCCUAAGAAAAUGGGGCUAUACAAAUUUGUAUACCAGAAUGCCCAUCACACCAAGUUACUUAAAAUAACUAAACUUGGAAAACUGCAAGAUUUAACUUUCAGAGUGAUGGGUUGAAUAAAUUAUUCUAUGUCCAGAGAAUAAAACAGUCAUUGAAUAACAUGAGAAAAUGCUCACCGAUAAAUGUUCAAUAAUGAGGUAAUAAACAUGUUGCAUACAGUGUAAACACAUACAGUGUAUAAUGUAUACAUGUAUUUUACAUAGGUAUUUCUGAAGGCAAAAUAUCAAGAUAAAUUCAUCUCUGGGGUUCAAUCAAAUUGUACAAAUGACCAAACAGGUUUGGAAAGGUCAGGAGUGUGCAAGUACAUCAAAUUCCAAAGCUCUGCUUCACUACUAUAAUAAACCGGCGAUCUCUUUCUCAGGCCUGUCUGUAAAAGGUUGGGGGUGAGAUGACCUGGUGUCGGUGGAUACUGAAUUCAGCCUUUUAUUUUCCUAUGUGGAAAUAACUAUUUUUUAAAUUAUUUUUUCAAAAAGAAGUUCAGAAAGUAAAAUUUCCCCAGUUGUGUUACAUUUCUCUUAAACUUAAUUUUUUUUUCACAUUAGACUCUUAUACAUUGUAUCCUUCGUAUUUUCUGAUACGUUUUGUUGACUAAAAAUUUUUCAUGUCAAUAUAGCUUGAUCCAGACAUUUAUUAUUUCAAGGCUGUAUAGAAGUCUACUGUAAGGAUGUACCAUAAUUACAAUAAUGUACCAUAAUGUACACUAUUAUUGGAAUGAAUUUUGGCGGCAGUUUUAACUUUUGGUGGAGGGGGUCCCCAAUUGGUUGUGAGCAGUUACCUUGUAUAGAAUUCUAAGGUGGUGGUUUUAUCUGACCUAAAUUACCUUAAUUAUUAUGCCUUUGUAGCACUGUGCAUAUAAAUAAGGGUAAUGUGGGUAAUAUUACAGUAGAACAAAUAUUUGCCAUUUCUUAAAGUGGAAAACGUGUUUAUUAACAUUCAAACUCCCUUCAUACAAGGCCAUAUAAAAAUUCUUAGCAUUUUGAUUAUACAUAAGUCUAUAUUUUCUACAUAGUUACAGUGAUGUA
Molecule: long non-coding RNA, 1888 nt
Organism: Neofelis nebulosa (Clouded leopard)
Lineage: Eukaryota; Metazoa; Chordata; Mammalia; Carnivora; Felidae
Exons: 2
Source: RefSeq, a predicted model, not a curated record